UUAUCCGGAUUUAUUGGGUUUAAAGGGAGCGUAGGUGGAUUGUUAAGUCAGUUGUGAAAGUUUGCGGCUCAACCGUAAAAUUGCAGUUGAAACUGGCAGUCUUGAGUACAGUAGAGGUGGGCGGAAUUCGAGGUGUAGCGGUGAAAUGCUUAGAUAUCACGAAGUACUCCGAUUGCGAAGGCAGCUCACUAGACUGUUACUGACACUGAUGCUCGAAAGUGUGGGUAUCAAACAGGAUUAGAUACCCUGGUAGUCCACACAGUAAACGAUGAAUACUCGCUGUUUGCGAUAUACAGUAAGCGGCCAAGCGAAAGCAUUAAGUAUUCCACCUGGGGAGUACGCCGGCAACGGUGAAACUCAAAGGAAUUGACGGGGGCCCGCACAAGCGGAGGAACAUGUGGUUUAA
This 406-nucleotide ribosomal RNA is filed under the name uncultured bacterium. RNAcentral describes it as "bacterial SSU rRNA". It matches the Rfam family "Bacterial small subunit ribosomal RNA", at positions 541 to 949 of the family's 1533-position model. The record is from RNAcentral.